Molecule: ribosomal RNA, 1021 nt
Filed under: Gymnascella thermotolerans
Lineage: Eukaryota; Fungi; Ascomycota; Eurotiomycetes; Onygenales; Gymnoascaceae
Description: SSU rRNA
Rfam family: Eukaryotic small subunit ribosomal RNA
Source: RNAcentral
UCUAUACGGUGAAACUGCGAAUGGCUCAUUAAAUCAGUUAUCGUUUAUUUGAUAGUACCUUACUACAUGGAUACCCGUGGUAAUUCUAGAGCUAAUACAUGCUAAAAACCUCGACUUCGGAAGGGGUGUAUUUAUUAGAUAAAAAACCAAUGCCCUUCGGGGCUCUCUGGUGAUUCAUAAUAACUUCUCGAAUCGCAUGGCCUUGCGCCGGCGAUGGUUCAUUCAAAUUUCUGCCCUAUCAACUUUCGAUGGUAGGAUAGUGGCCUACCAUGGUGGCAACGGGUAACGGGGAAUUAGGGUUCGAUUCCGGAGAGGGAGCCUGAGAAACGGCUACCACAUCCAAGGAAGGCAGCAGGCGCGCAAAUUACCCAAUCCCGAUACGGGGAGGUAGUGACAAUAAAUACUGAUACAGGGCUCUUUUGGGUCUUGUAAUUGGAAUGAGUACAAUUUAAAUACCUUAACGAGGAACAAUUGGAGGGCAAGUCUGGUGCCAGCAGCCGCGGUAAUUCCAGCUCCAAUAGCGUAUAUUAAAGUUGUUGCAGUUAAAAAGCUCGUAGUUGAACCUUGGGCCUGGCUGGCCGGUCCGCCUCACGGCGUGCACUGGUCCGGCUGGGUCUUUCCUUCUGGGGAGCCCCAUGGCCUUCACUGGCUGUGGGGGGAACCAGGACUUUUACUGUGAAAAAAUUAGAGUGUUCAAAGCAGGCCUUUGCUCGGAUACAUUAGCAUGGAAUAAUAGAAUAGGACGUGUGGUUCUAUUUUGUUGGUUUCUAGGACCGCCGUAAUGAUUAAUAGGGAUGGUCGGGGGCGUCAGUAUUCGGCUGUCAGAGGUGAAAUUCUUGGAUUUGCCGAAGACUAACUACUGCGAAAGCAUUCGCCAAGGAUGUUUUCAUUAAUCAGUGAACGAAAGUUAGGGGAUCGAAGACGAUCAGAUACCGUCGUAGUCUUAACCAUAAACUAUGCCGACUAGGGAUCGGACGGUGUUUUUAUGAUGACCCGUUCGGCACCUUACGAGAAAUCAAAG